Molecule: microRNA precursor, 143 nt
Filed under: Ipomoea nil (Japanese morning glory)
Lineage: Eukaryota; Viridiplantae; Streptophyta; Magnoliopsida; Solanales; Convolvulaceae
Description: mir-166 microRNA precursor family
Rfam family: mir-166 microRNA precursor family
About the family: This family represents the plant microRNA (miRNA) precursor mir-166. Animal miRNAs are transcribed as ~70nt precursors and subsequently processed by the Dicer enzyme to give a ~22nt product.
Source: Rfam by way of RNAcentral
AUUGAGGGGAAUGUUGUCUGGCUCGAGGCCACCAACUAGAUCCAUGUACCCAAAUCUCUUCUUUUUUUCCUUCUAAAUUCUGGGUAAUAGUUCAUCAUGGAUCAUGUGUUAGUGUCGUCGGACCAGGCUUCAUUCCCCCCAAU